GGGUUUGAAGCUCACCAGUCAGGAAGUGAGGCCGACAGACGGAAGGGCGGGCAGGGUCGAGGAGUUCUGGGGCACAGCAGAAGGGGCCUUCUGAAGUUUGGGGGUUGCAGGGUCAUGGGCUUCAGAAGCAGAGGUGGUUGGUAGUCUGGCAAGGCAAGUCUGCGCAACAUGCAUGCCCAGAGGCAGUUGGCUAUAGCCACAGUAAGAGCAGAAGUCAGGCGACAUGAGGUGGCCAAGCAAGCUCUGAGCCGACUCAGGAAGCUGGCAGAGAGAGUGAGUGACCCCGAACUCCAAGCUGGCAUCCAGGCCUCACUGGACAGCGUACGAGGUAAGAGAUGCAUCAGUCCCUAACUUGGCUGCUUUGGGGACCAGUACAGGGCAUGGAAAUGCUUAGCCGUGCGUGUCUUAACAGAGUUUCUGGCUGUUCAGGCAUUGACUUCCUCGUUCCUGAGAUGGAGCUGGGAAUUGGGAAGAAGACAUUAGGGGAGAUGGGAAAAGACAUGGGGGGGUAUUAUUAUUCCUUUUCCCAAAGCCCAACUCUGAACAGAGUACGGGUCACUGUGGGACUGACCUUCUUGGCAGCAGAGAGUGGACACACACUGGGGAGACAGACCCGAUAGAUGGAGUCCCUGUCUGAGGAGUCUAGAACAGGAAGCUGUCGGGACAGAAGGUUCUGGGACUCGGUAACGUGUUCAUUCCCAGGACCCACUAAAGAUCAGUGACCUCUUGUUCUCCAGCUGUAGAGAAGCACACACACACACACACACAUACACACACACACACACACACGGGGGGGGGGGGGGAUACACCACAAAGGAUGUCAGGUUCCCAGACACACUAACCCUUAAGACUCCACACUUUAUACAGCCGCAGUGCAGCAAGGACCCCAGGACUUGCCUCAGUCCCCUCUCCUUCUGUCUCCCCUUCUUGUCUUCCCCUUGGGUUCCUUCCGUUCUACCUCCUUAGUGCCAUUAGAGUAACUGAUGACAACACUGGGAGGAAGUGCUGUCAUGGCAACAGCAUCCGCCACAUCCUCCUGCCCACUGUAGCCUUGGAUCCUGUGCUGGGGCCCUGGCAAGUCUGUUCUCCAUCCAUGAGGCCCAGCACUGAGGAACUGGGGGGCUGUUACACUCCAUCCAUUUCUGGAUUCCCAAGAAGCUGGCUUUCUUGCUUGUGAAUUAUGUCAGGGAGAAACAAGCCCGUCCUCCAUCAGACCCUGAUCAUUCCAGUUAUCAGACCUCUCUGCUCCCAGCUACUUCUUUGGGAAGGGAGUGUCAAAACAAACAAACAAACACCUUCUGACACCAGGGCACAAUUUGGAGGCAGGCAUGAUUGAUUUAGGGUUUUAGUGGGAUAGCUUCCACGCCUCUGUCUUCUCAUUACCCUUCUGAAGUUAGCGUCUCUUUCAGCUCCAGAACACAAGCCUCUGACAGGAAAUAUACUUGCAUCUUCCCGGAUAGCCACAGUGAUGAGAAAGGAAGUCCUAGGGAGGCUAGUCCACAGGACUGCCUAGUGGGGGAAACUCUAGAUUUCACCUUUGUCUGGAACAGCAUGGGGUUGGGACCAGGCAAAGGAAUUCUCUUAGUCCUGGGGGGGGGGGGGCGGGGAGCUAGUGUGAUGGGGCACCCCAGUGUCCCUAGCACCAUAAUCUCACAACCUUGGUUCUAGAGCAGCCUCGAUUACAGAGCAAGUCCUAGACUCAGCUAUCCAAAAGAAGAGAAAGAAAGGAAGGAAGAAAGAAAGUAGGGUAAGGAGAGAGUGGAGGCUGAUAGACGUUUCUCUGUAUCUUUGUGUGUGGUGUGUGUUGCUGGGGAUAAAACCUAGGGCCCCCAGGCCUCCUAUCGUGAUAGGCAAGGGCUCUACCAGUCCGACACUAUGGGUUUUUUUUGGGGGGGGGUUGUUGUUGUUGUUGUUUUUGUUUUGAGUCUGAAUUUGGGUCCUGCUCUCUAUCUCGGGCUCCCCUUGGACUCUCUGUGUAGCUCAGGCUGUCCUCAAACUUUGAGUCAUCCUCCUGCCUCAGCUUCCUCAAAAGAGUGCACCACCUGGCAAAGCUGUGCUCUUCCUAAGUAAUUUGUUCUCUUCUGAGACAGAAUUCUUUUCACACUAAAUAUGAAGGCGAACUGAGACCACUCCACCCCCAAAUACUAAAAAGCUAACAAUUCUCAUUUAUGAAAUUGUCUCCUUCAUGGAAAAAUUAGGGUGGGUCUCCUGCCCUGAGGAUGUUUGAUGGGCAAUCCC
Molecule: long non-coding RNA, 2238 nt
Filed under: Mus musculus (house mouse)
Lineage: Eukaryota; Metazoa; Chordata; Mammalia; Rodentia; Muridae
Description: long non-coding RNA chr10:127075263-127077501
Source: RNAcentral